UCAGAAUAGUUCUCUGAAAAUGGGACAACAGAAGAAGAGCUGCAGCCUAGAGUUGACCGACCCUGUGCUGUUGAAGGAAGCAGGGAAUGAGGCGUAUAAGAAGGAAAACCUGGACGAGGCCCUAGCCUGCUAUACUAAGGGUUUAGAAAUAUCCUCUGCUGACCUAGAUAAAGCUGUUUUAUUGAAGAAUCGAGCAGCAGUUUAUCUCAAGA
Molecule: long non-coding RNA, 212 nt
Organism: Eurytemora carolleeae
Lineage: Eukaryota; Metazoa; Arthropoda; Copepoda; Calanoida; Temoridae
Exons: 2
Source: RefSeq, a predicted model, not a curated record